GAAAUUGAAAUAGGUGAGUAAAUUAAACACAACAAACAAACAAAGCAAAGAAAUAAAAGAAAGAAAGAAACCAAAGAAAAAAAAAUUAUGAGAAAAAGAUUUUCCAGUGAAGAGAGAGUGAAUUUGAAAACAAAUUAAAGAAAAAGAAACCCCGUAUAAUGAUCAUCAAGCUCUGGUUCAAAUUUGAUAAUCAUUUUCUAGAUUUUGUUUGAAAAUAAAAAGGGAAAUCAAAUACCUAAAAUUUGUGUGCAAAUUGCAAAGGAGAAGAGAUGCAUUUGAAGGUUUGUGAUAGAUGAAAUGGUUAGGCUCAGUAGAGAGAAGAGAUGGUUUUGGGAAGAAGAUGAAUGGAAGAUAGAAGAAAAAGUGUAGUUGGUGGUGAGAGAGAUAGAGCGUUUUUAGUUGGUGUCCGCUUUUUAUGAAUUUUUAUUCAUAGUAAUGCAUGACAUAUAUUCUGCUUUGAUGACCCUUAGUCCCUAAAUUCAAUUUUGUAACGGAUGGAUCACAGAUGCGUCCAUGACCAUAAAGUAAAAUGUUGGAUGAAAUUGAUGACCCUAGUCCCUAAAUGUGAAAGCUAAUUGUUGCCUUAAUUGCUACUCAAGCAAUUGUCUCUAUGGGUGUCCGCUUUUUAUGAAUUUUUGUUCAUAGUAAUGCAUGAUAUAUAUUCUGUCCCAACCCAAGAACAUUCAAUCUUCUGUUUAUUGAAAAUUUCAUUCCAACAUAUUUGGGAAAGAUGAUGGGUUGCCGAUUUUGGUUUAUAAUCAAUACCUAUCGGGAAAGAUGAUGGGUUGCCGAUUUUUGCAUUCUGGAUUAUUCAUAAAUCUUCAAUCUUCUGCUUCAAUAAAACAGUGAAAUUUCUAAUUUUGUAAGGGGUUGUGUGUUUUCUUGAUGUCCAAAAAUUGCUGGAAAAAUUACUUAUGACCCUAGUCCCUCAAUAUGAAAUGUUGCAUAUAUUGCUACUCAAGAAAUUGUCUCUAUCACAAAAAUUAUGAAUUUUUAUUCAUAGUAAUGCAUGAAUGGGUAUAUAUUCUUGUUUGAUGACCCUUAGUCCCUAAAUUCAAUUUUGCAACUGCAAUUAGAAGUGAUAUUGCAUUAUGAACUUAAUUGUGAAAGCUAGUUGUUGCCUUAAAUGCAAUUUUAAUAUAAAAUUUCAUUCAUAAUAUACGACACAUAUAAUAUCUAUUUUUCUUUGAUGUCCCUAGUCCCUAAAUGCAAUUUUGCAACUACAAUAUGAAGUGAUUUGGCAAAUGCAAAAGGAAGUGCGUCCUUGUGUUUCAAAGGAAUUCUCUAAUGAAGCAACGAAUCAACUGAAGCAAAGUACAAAGAAACCAAUUCUUUGGAGUCUAAACUAUUUUAUAUAAGGAUGCUUGCAUUGUGAUUUAUGGAGGAAUCCAUAAUGAGGUUGUAUAUCUGUUAGUCUUGUUUAUUGCAGUCCUAAUGUGAAAUUUAAUGAAAUUUGGUGGAUGCUUUGUCGCUGGCAUAAGAAUCAGAUAGUAACUGAAAAAAGGGAUAACCUUACCCAUUUUUAUCAUUCUUGAUCAUUCAAUUAAAUUCAAUCUUCUGCGGUUAUUUGGAAACCGAAAUUUCACGGAACUGUUAGUGGAAGACUGUAACUGAACUGAAGUUGAAUGCAUGUUGGUGGGUAAAGUAAACGGAAGGUUGAUGGUUCAGGUGUUGGUGUUGAUGUGGCUUCAUGCACGAAUCAGAGUAACUUUCUAUCCCAAAUUUGAAAAUGGAAAGUGAGAUCAAGAGGUAUGUGAUUCCUGACUUAGUUUUUUAUGUUUUGACUUCACAUAUUUGCAUUGAUUCAUGUUCAGAUACUCAUUUUUCUCAUUCUUGAUUAUUCAAUAACAUUCAAUCUUCUGUUUAUUGGAAAUUUCAUUUCAACAUAUUUGGGAAAUAUGAUGGGUUGACGAUUUUGGUUUAUAAUCAAUACAUGUUGGGUAAGAUACUGGGUUGCCAAUUUUUUCAUUCUUGAUUAUUCAAAAACCCUCAAUCUUCUGUUUCAACAAAAAAGUGAAAUUUCUAAUUUUGUAAGGGGUUGUAUGUUGUCAUGAUGUCCAAAAAUUGAUGGAAAACUUACUUAUGACCCUAGUCCCUCAAUAUGAAAUCUAGUUGUUGCCUAUAUUGCUACUCUAGCAAUUGUCUCUAUCGGUGUCCGCUUUUCUCUUCACAAAAAUUAUGACCCUUAGGCCCUAAAUUCAAUUUUGUAACGGAUGGAUCAUAGAUGCAUCGAUGACCAUAAAGUAAAGUGUUGGAUUAAAUAGAUGACCUAGUCCCUGAAUGUGAAAGCUAGUUGUUGCCUUAAUUGCUACUCAGACCAUAUUCUCUACGGGUGUCCGCUUUUCUGUUUAAAAAAUUUAUGAAUUUUUAUUCAUAGUAAUGCACGAAUGGGUAUAUAUUAUGCUUUGAUGACCCUUGGUCCCUAAAGUAACAAAUGGAUCACAGAUGCGUCGAUGACCAUAAAGUAAACUGUUGGAUGAAAUUGAUGACCCUAGUUCCUGAAUGUGAAAUCUAGUUGUUGCCUAUAUUGCUAUUCAAGAUAUUGUCUCUAUCGGUGUCCGCUUUUCUGUUGAAAAAAUUAUGAAUUUUUAUUCAUAAUCAUGCAUGAAUGGGUAUAUAUUCUGCUUUGGUGAACCUUAGUCCCUAAAUUCAAUUUUGCAACAACAAUUAGAAGUGAUUUUGCUGAAGGUUCAGCAUACUAAUAAGGUUCAGCAUACUAAUAAGGUGGUUGAUUGCCAAGGUUCAACGGUGAUUUUGAAACCGAAUUUUCAUGCUAACUGAAGUUGAAACUUGAAAGCAUGCUGGUGGUACCAAACAGAGGUAGUACUUAUAUAUAAGGAUGGAGGUAUUACUAAGUAUUGUUUGAUAUAUGCCUCAAUACUUGUGGUUCUGAACUUUGUCACUUGAAUUCAGAUGUUUUCUUUGUUCUCAACAAUGGAUACAUUAAUCUGCAUUUGGACUUGAUCUGGUAGCUUUCUUAGGGGACAACCAUGAAUACAAAUUUUGAUUUUUGUUGAAGCUAUGUCUUUCUCCAUAAUAGUUUCAAAAUGAGAUUUGAGAAAAAUUGGCUAUUGGAUACUUUAUGAAAACUAAAUUCGGCCAAAAAGCCUGUAGUAAUUGGUAAGAUUUUGUCCCAUGACAAAAAUGUAGUGUCUGUGGGUGCAUCUAUCAUUAAUUGAUUUUCAUUCUUGAUAUAGAAAACUUUAACAUAAGAAUGAUGACAACAAAAUUUUCAGGCAGAUGUUCAUUUGCGGUUGUCGUUUGAG
This 3266-nucleotide long non-coding RNA is filed under the name Trifolium pratense (red clover). RNAcentral's name for it is "long non-coding RNA (TPRA_LNC013631)". Lineage: Eukaryota; Viridiplantae; Streptophyta; Magnoliopsida; Fabales; Fabaceae. The record is from RNAcentral.